RNAcentral lists this ribosomal RNA (111 nucleotides) under bovine gut metagenome. The record is from RNAcentral.
GGUGGCAACAGAGCAGGGGUCACACCCGUUCCCAUCCCGAACACGGAAGUUAAGCCCUGUUUCGCCGAAGAUACUUGGCGGGUGACUGCCCGGGAAAAUAGGGCGCUGCCG